This 69-nucleotide transfer RNA is filed under the name Clavelina oblonga. RNAcentral describes it as "transfer RNA-Met (AUG)". Lineage: Eukaryota; Metazoa; Chordata; Ascidiacea; Aplousobranchia; Clavelinidae. The record is from RNAcentral.
GUAAAAAUAAACUAAACUAAGUUAUAGGUGUCAUCUGCCUAAAAUGUAAAUUUUAAAUUACUUUUUACU